ACGAGCGGCGAACGGGUGAGUAACACGUGAGUAAUCUGCCCUCCACUUCGGGAUAAGCCUCGGAAACGGGGUCUAAUACCGGAUAUGACCACUUCAUGCAUGUGAUGGUGGUGGAAAGUUUUUCGGUGGGGGAUGUGCUCGCGGCCUAUCAGCUUGUUGGUGGGGUAAUGGCCUACCAAGGCUUCGACGGGUAGCCGGCCUGAGAGGGUGACCGGCCACACUGGGACUGAGACACGGCCCAGACUCCUACGGGAGGCAGCAGUGGGGAAUAUUGGACAAUGGGCGGAAGCCUGAUCCAGCAACGCCGCGUGAGGGAUGACGGCCUUCGGGUUGUAAACCUCUUUCAGUGGGGACGAAGCGCAAGUGACGGUACCCACAGAAGAAGCACCGGCCAACUACGUGCCAGCAGCCGCGGUAAUACGUAGGGUGCGAGCGUUGUCCGGAAUUAUUGGGCGUAAAGGGCUCGUAGGCGGUUUGUCGCGUCGGGAGUGAAAACACUGGGCUUAACUCAGUGCUUGCUUCCGAUACGGGCAGACUAGAGGUAUUCAGGGGAGAACGGAAUUCCUGGUGUAGCGGUGAAAUGCGCAGAUAUCAGGAGGAACACCGGUGGCGAAGGCGGUUCUCUGGGAAUUACCUGACGCUGAGGAGCGAAAGUGUGGG
RNAcentral lists this ribosomal RNA (660 nucleotides) under Nocardioides salarius. RNAcentral's name for it is "bacterial SSU rRNA". It matches the Rfam family "Bacterial small subunit ribosomal RNA", at positions 91 to 765 of the family's 1533-position model. Lineage: Bacteria; Bacillati; Actinomycetota; Actinomycetes; Propionibacteriales; Nocardioidaceae. The record is from RNAcentral.